This 119-nucleotide ribosomal RNA is filed under the name Rattus norvegicus (Norway rat). Lineage: Eukaryota; Metazoa; Chordata; Mammalia; Rodentia; Muridae. The record is from RNAcentral.
AUCUCUGCCCAAAUCACCCUGAACAUGCCUGGUUUCACCUAAUCCAGGAAGCUGUGCAGGGUUGGGUCUAGAUAGAACUUGAAUGGGUGACCCCUUGGGAAUACCGGGGGGUAAGGGCU